This 2505-nucleotide long non-coding RNA is filed under the name Oreochromis niloticus (Nile tilapia). RNAcentral's name for it is "lncRNA (ENSONIG00000040871.1)". Lineage: Eukaryota; Metazoa; Chordata; Actinopteri; Cichliformes; Cichlidae. The record is from RNAcentral.
GACCUGCAGUUUCUCCUGGUAACGCAGCAAAAUGUACGGACACAACCAAGGCCCACCUGGUUACCCGAACUAUCCUCCGCAGGGGGGUUGCCCUCCGCAGGGGGGUUACCCUCCACAGGGUUGUCCUCCAGGGACUGUCCCACCAACCUGUCCUCCUCAGCACCAUGGGCCACAUGGAGGACACGGACAUGGGCACGGACCUGGUUCUGGUUGUUGUCAAGGCCAAGGAUCCUGCCAAGGGCACGGGCACGGACAUGGACAUGGACACGGACAUGGACAUGGACAUGGACAUGGACACAAGGACAAGAAAAAGGACAAGAAAAAGGACAAACAUAAGCACAAGCACGGUCACAAGCAUGGCCACUGUCACAAGAAAGGAAAGGACAGCCACGGGUCUUCCAGCAGCUCCUGCAGCAGCGACUCCGACUAGAUGGACAAAACCCGGAAACCUUCAUGCUCCUGUCUCAUCAUCUUGAGCUUUAACACAGUUUUGCUUAAAAAAAAAAAUCAGUCCAGCUUUUGUCAGAAAAUAAUAAUAAUCUAAACUUUGAUGGAUACCAAAUUAAUCAUCUGUCAAGUUACUUUAGAUCAUUGUGAGCUUUAACAAGCAUUAUUUUAUCCAGUGUUUGUCAGCAAAGAAAUAAAAGUGAUUUCAGUGCCUGGUCAGUUUUUUUUUUUUUAAAUUAAUCUCACCCUGUCUUGUUUUUAUACAAUACCCCAUAUCCCUUUGUUUUUUUUAUUGGUUUUGUUUGACCAUAUAACCAAACUUUAUUUACCCAGGUGACUGAACUCAUUUGAUCAGCCACACCUUGCUCACAGCGGUGCUCCACACCCUGAAACUGCCACUGUUGUGACUCUUAUCUCAUGAUAGCUUUUGCAAAUCAGCUGUUUACAUGGAAAAGUUCACAGACCUGCUGCCUCUUGUUUUUGCAUGUAGAAAUGUUACUGAAAGGUGCACACUCACUCUGUGGUGAAGAUGAAUUCAUUCUUUAUUUAAGCAGAAAAACUGCUUAAUGUAAAUAUAAUUUGAAGUUUAACACACAAAGUAUUAGCAGAAAAAACCCCAAAUUGAUUCCACCUUAAUGUGCUUAUUUUUUUUCUUGUUGCAAAGAUAACUGUGUGUACAGUACACCCAGGGCUACUUUGAUAUUUAAAUCAUAUUUUUAAAGUUGUUCGUAUAGUUGGUUUGCAAAGAUAUGUCUUUAAAGGAGCCUCAGUAGAUAAAACUCAAGCCAAUGCUAGGAAUACUUUGUCUCUAUCCUCAAAAUUCAAUUUGUUUCUCACGACAGCGUUGCUCUGGGUGCUCACAGGUUAAUAAUUAAGGAUUUAUUAUGUCUGGAAAAUAUACUCAGACUUGUGGGUUUUACUGUGCUUUCUCAUGAAUAAGGGGCUGACCAAUUUUAGCUUUUGUUUGUUUUAUUUUAUUAAAUUCACUUGUGUUUUGUUGAUGGGUCAUGUCGCCAUGAGUUAUAAUGCGGAGAUGUUGGUUUAAACAAACAAAUAAUGAGUAUUUAUUUGGUGUUAAGCAAAAAAAUCUAUGAAGCAGGAAUGCACAGACUGAAAACAGGGAAACCAACAGUGAUUUGGUGAAGAGCAACGGGUAGGCCAGACUACGUGGACACAGGGAGUGAAGUAAACAGUAAACAACUGAUAACAACAGGAGGGAGGAGGGAAAAGGAAUCUAGAUGCCAAAAAACACCUAAUGUUUGGCAUAAAACAGCAAAUAAACCAAACAGCAACUGACACUAAAGAGUUAGAGACAGGAAAGCUCAACAUAACUAGAGUGGUAAUAAAAUCAAAACCAGAGCCAGAAACAAAACCCUGGAACUACGACACAUGAUAUCAGACAUGCAAAAAUUCACUUAGCUUGUUUAAAGCACACAAAAGCAGACAAAGAGGCAGAUUAUCGGGUUCCAACAAAGGAGAGGCAGGUAUUACUCACAAAAAAUACUUACUUGUGCAAACCCAGCACUUUUGGACAAAGCAGUUCUCCAGUGACUUUAUUAAUAAAGAGACCUCAUUGAUGCGUCAUUUCGGGUGAACAUCAAUGAGGGUGAACAUUUUCCUUAUUAAUGAAUUAUCUGAAUUAAAAAAAACCUUUUUAUAUAUUUUAGUUGCUUUAAGUCAAAUUUUUUGCUUUUUUCUGGUUUAUUGAAGGUGCAGAAUCAUGUUUGAGUUCAGGCUCAAUGCUUCUGCAUAUAAAAUCAAUUUGGUGCGUAAUAUAAGUUUUUAGUACCACAUGUUACCCAUUCCAGCUGUGGAGAGACUAGCACAUCUGUAUUUCUUUACUAGAAUGUUCUCUGUGUUUCUCUUAAUCUGGGCCUUUGAGUCUGUAAUAAAUAUGUGUGUCAUCUUCAGUCGCCAGCAGGUGGCGGUGUGGCACAAACACACCGCGGAGAGACGCUCUGGCGUCACCGACACCCACCAAUCAGCGGGAGCUCAUCCCCGCUUCCAGGAAGUAAACGUAGAAACCCGAGGCUGUAGAGGUUCUGCUAUUGACCCCGC